CCUACGGGUGGCAGCAGUGGGGGAUAUUGCACAAUGGGGGAAACCCUGAUGCAGCAACGCCGCGUGAGUGAAGAAGUAUUUCGGUAUGUAAAGCUCUAUCAGCAGGGAAGAGAAUGACGGUACCUGACUAAGAAGCCCCGGCUAACUACGUGCCAGCAGCCGCGGUAAUACGUAGGGGGCGAGCGUUAUCCGGAUGUACGGGGUGUAAAGGGAGCGUAGACGGCUGGGCAAGUCUGAAGGGAAAGCCCCGGGCUUAACCCCGGAACGGCUUUUGAAACUGGGCAUCUAGAGUGCUGGAUAGGUAAGCGGAAUUCCUAGUGUAGCGGUGAAAUGCGUAGAUAUUAGGAGGAACACCAGUGGCGAAGGCGGCUUACUGGACAGUAACUGACGUUGAGGCUCGAAAGCGUGGGGAGCAAACAGGAUUAGAUACCCUAGUAGUC
This 440-nucleotide ribosomal RNA is filed under the name uncultured bacterium. RNAcentral's name for it is "partial 16S ribosomal RNA". It matches the Rfam family "Bacterial small subunit ribosomal RNA", at positions 338 to 795 of the family's 1533-position model. The record is from RNAcentral.